UUAAAGCAACGUUAGUUCAACGCCGGCAUUUAACGUUAAAACAACGUAAAACGAUAGUACAGCGCGUCGUUUGUUUUUGCUCUUGUUAUUGGUUAAAAGAUGAAAAUGUAAAGAAUAUAAUAAUGAAAAAACAUAUAAAUUGAAAAAAAAAACUAAUAAAUAAAUUAGAAAAUAUUUAAAAAUUUUUAAAAUAAUAAAGAAAAUACAACUUUGUGUGUGUGUGUGUGUGUGUGAAAAAAGGUUAACGAAAUACAUUUGGAGUAUAAUUUAAAAUAAUUAAAACUACAAAAAAGUUUAAAAACAAAAAUUUUACAAAAUUCUUUAAAAUAUAUAAAAAUUUCUUAAAAAAGUUAUAAUUGUAAAUUUGAAA
Lucilia cuprina (Australian sheep blowfly) is the source of this 370-nucleotide long non-coding RNA. RefSeq lists it as uncharacterized. The transcript has 2 exons. The record is from RefSeq and is a predicted model, not a curated record. Lineage: Eukaryota; Metazoa; Arthropoda; Insecta; Diptera; Calliphoridae.